AUUGCGUCGUCCCCCCCUCGCCCGUGAUGUCCCGAAAGGGUCGCGGGCCUCAGCGUGGGGGCGGAAGUUGGCUUCCCGUGCAGCGUUUGCGGCUAGCCUGAAACACGGUUCCCCUCGCCGCGGACGUCGCGACAAGUGGUGGUCGUCGAGAUUGUACGCGAGUUGCCGGCAGGCUGCGUCGAGGGGAGCAUUUCGGACCCUGUGCGAGAUUGAGUCCUUCACCGAGGGGGCAAUUCCAACGAUUGCGACCCCAGGUCAGGC
Molecule: ribosomal RNA, 261 nt
Filed under: Cynanchum danguyanum
Lineage: Eukaryota; Viridiplantae; Streptophyta; Magnoliopsida; Gentianales; Apocynaceae
Description: partial 26S ribosomal RNA
Source: RNAcentral